AGCUUUGCGCAGUGGCAGUAUCGCAGCCAAUGAGGUUUAUCCAAAGCGCGAUAAUUGCUAAUUGAAAACUUUUCCCAAUACCUCGCCAUGACAACUUGAAAUAUAGUCGGCAGCAGCAAUUUUUGAGUCUCUACGGAGA
RNAcentral lists this small nuclear RNA (139 nucleotides) under Aotus nancymaae (Ma's night monkey). RNAcentral describes it as "U4 spliceosomal RNA (ENSANAG00000012112.1)". It matches the Rfam family "U4 spliceosomal RNA". Rfam says of the family: U4 small nuclear RNA (U4 snRNA) is a component of the major U2-dependent spliceosome. The structure of U4 snRNA from yeast and human has been reported. Lineage: Eukaryota; Metazoa; Chordata; Mammalia; Primates; Aotidae. The record is from Rfam by way of RNAcentral.